AUGCGGCCGGCCCCGGCGGGUCACCCCACGGGUCGCCAAGUGCUGAAGCAGGUGCACCCUGACAUCGGCAUCUCCUCUAAGGCCAUGUCCAUCAUGAACUCCUUCAUCAACGACAUCUUCGAGAAGCUCGCCGACGAGGCCGCCAAGCUCGCCCGCUACAACAAGAAGCCCACCAUCACCUCCCGGGAGAUCCAGACCUCCGUAUGCCUCGUCCUCCCCGGCGAGCUCGCCAAGCACGCCGUCUCCGAGGUCACCAAGGCCGUCACCAAGUUCACCUCCUCUUAG
This 285-nucleotide ribosomal RNA is filed under the name Triticum aestivum (bread wheat). RNAcentral describes it as "partial small subunit ribosomal RNA". Lineage: Eukaryota; Viridiplantae; Streptophyta; Magnoliopsida; Poales; Poaceae. The record is from RNAcentral.